AUGCCUCUUGGUGCCCGCAGCCGCGUCACCGGUGUUCCUCCUCAACGCUGCCGCCUCGAACCUCCUCCGUGCGCCAAGUCCCGCCACGGCCAUCACCUCCCCGACGCCCUUGCUGCUGCUAGACCACCUCGAUGCCACCAGGGAGUGCCAUGGCCUCCACCGAGAACCUUGGAAUCGGCAAGACCACACGGACGCUCGAACGACUACACACUGAAACGUCAAAGUACCUCGUCAAUACGUGUACGACUACCGUCGCCGCGAAGACCGCGAGUUCAACUACUUCCACAACGCGUCGUGUACGACUACCGUCGCUUGGGUUCGACAAGACGUCGAGUACCACUACGUUGGCCAAGUACACCUUCGUCAAGACCGAUGCCCGAACAAGCACCGUUUCCAUGGAUUGCGUCAAGUACCUCUACCGACGACCCCUAA
RNAcentral lists this ribosomal RNA (432 nucleotides) under Triticum aestivum (bread wheat). RNAcentral's name for it is "partial small subunit ribosomal RNA". Lineage: Eukaryota; Viridiplantae; Streptophyta; Magnoliopsida; Poales; Poaceae. The record is from RNAcentral.